AGUGAACGCUGGCGGUAGGCCUAACACAUGCAAGUCGAACGAGUGGCGGACGGGUGAGGAAUGCAUCGGAAUCUACUCUAUCGAGGGGGAUAACUUCGGGAAACUUACGCUAAUACCGCAUACGAUUGAAUGAGCCGAUGUCGGAUUAGCUAGUUGGCGGGGUAACGGCUCACCAAGGCGACGAUCCGUAGCUGGUCUGAGAGGAUGAUAAGCAACACUGGAACUGAUACACGGUCCAGAAUCCUACGGGAGGCAGCAUUGGGGAAUAUUGGACAAUGGGCGCAAGCCUGAUCAAGCCAUACCGCGUGGGUGAAGAAGGCCUUCGGGUUGGAAAGUCCUUUUGUUGGGAAAGCGGUACCCAAAGAAUAAGCACCGGCUAACUUCGUGCCAGCAGCCGCGGUAAUUC
Molecule: ribosomal RNA, 406 nt
Filed under: uncultured bacterium
Lineage: Bacteria
Description: partial 16S ribosomal RNA
Rfam family: Bacterial small subunit ribosomal RNA
Source: RNAcentral